UACGGAGGGUGCAAGCGUUAUCCGGAUUCACUGGGUUUAAAGGGCUCGUAGGCGGCCAACUAAGUCAGACGUGAAAUCCCUCAGCUUAACUGGGGAACUGCGUCUGAUACUGGAUGGCUUGGAUUCGGGAGAGGAAUGCGGAAUUCCAGGUGUAGCGGUGAAAUGCGUAGAUAUCGGGAGGAACACCAGUGGCGAAGGCGGCUACCUGGCCCACUCUUGACGCUGAGGCGCGAAAGCUAGGGGAGCAAACGGG
Molecule: ribosomal RNA, 253 nt
Filed under: uncultured bacterium
Lineage: Bacteria
Description: partial 16S ribosomal RNA
Rfam family: Bacterial small subunit ribosomal RNA
Source: RNAcentral